CCUACGGGAGGCAGCAGUGGGGAAUAUUGGGCAAUGGGCGCAAGCCUGACCCAGCAACGCCGCGUGAGGGAAGAAGGCUUUCGGGUUGUAAACUUCUUUUAAGAGGGAAGAGCAGAAGACGGUACCUCUUGAAUAAGCUACGGCUAACUACGUGCCAGCAGCCGCGGUAAUACGGAGGGGGCAAGCGUUGUCCGGAUUUACUGGGUGUAAAGGGCGUGCAGCCGGGAAGACAAGUCGGAUGUGAAAUCCCGGGGCUCAACCGGGGAACUGCAUUUGAAACUGGUUUUCUUGAGUACCGGAGAGGGGAUCAGAAUUCCAGGUGUAGCGGUGAAAUGCGUAGAGAUAAGGAAGAAUACCAGUGGCGAAGGCGGAUGACUGGACGGCGACUGACGGUGAGGCGCGAAAGCGUGGGGAGCAAACAGGAUUAGAUACCCGGGUAGUC
RNAcentral lists this ribosomal RNA (442 nucleotides) under uncultured bacterium. Its description in RNAcentral is "partial 16S ribosomal RNA". It matches the Rfam family "Bacterial small subunit ribosomal RNA", at positions 338 to 795 of the family's 1533-position model. The record is from RNAcentral.